RNAcentral lists this ribosomal RNA (1495 nucleotides) under metagenome. RNAcentral describes it as "bacterial SSU rRNA". It matches the Rfam family "Bacterial small subunit ribosomal RNA". The record is from RNAcentral.
AGAGUUUGAUCAUGGCUCAGAUUGAACGCUGGCGGCAGGCUUAACACAUGCAAGUCGAGCGGGGGAAGGUAGCUUGCUACUGGACCUAGCGGCGGACGGGUGAGUAAUGCUUAGGAAUCUGCCUAUUAGUGGGGGACAACAUCUCGAAAGGGAUGCUAAUACCGCAUACGUCCUACGGGAGAAAGCAGGGGAUCUUCGGACCUUGCGCUAAUAGAUGAGCCUAAGUCGGAUUAGCUAGUUGGUGGGGUAAAGGCCUACCAAGGCGACGAUCUGUAGCGGGUCUGAGAGGAUGAUCCGCCACACUGGGACUGAGACACGGCCCAGACUCCUACGGGAGGCAGCAGUGGGGAAUAUUGGACAAUGGGGGGAACCCUGAUCCAGCCAUGCCGCGUGUGUGAAGAAGGCCUUAUGGUUGUAAAGCACUUUAAGCGAGGAGGAGGCUACUUUAGUUAAUACCUAGAGAUAGUGGACGUUACUCGCAGAAUAAGCACCGGCUAACUCUGUGCCAGCAGCCGCGGUAAUACAGAGGGUGCGAGCGUUAAUCGGAUUUACUGGGCGUAAAGCGUGCGUAGGCGGCUUAUUAAGUCGGAUGUGAAAUCCCCGAGCUUAACUUGGGAAUUGCAUUCGAUACUGGUGAGCUAGAGUAUGGGAGAGGAUGGUAGAAUUCCAGGUGUAGCGGUGAAAUGCGUAGAGAUCUGGAGGAAUACCGAUGGCGAAGGCAGCCAUCUGGCCUAAUACUGACGCUGAGGUACGAAAGCAUGGGGAGCAAACAGGAUUAGAUACCCUGGUAGUCCAUGCCGUAAACGAUGUCUACUAGCCGUUGGGGCCUUUGAGGCUUUAGUGGCGCAGCUAACGCGAUAAGUAGACCGCCUGGGGAGUACGGUCGCAAGACUAAAACUCAAAUGAAUUGACGGGGGCCCGCACAAGCGGUGGAGCAUGUGGUUUAAUUCGAUGCAACGCGAAGAACCUUACCUGGCCUUGACAUACUAGAAACUUUCCAGAGAUGGAUUGAUGCCUUCGGGAAUCUAGAUACAGGUGCUGCAUGGCUGUCGUCAGCUCGUGUCGUGAGAUGUUGGGUUAAGUCCCGCAACGAGCGCAACCCUUUUCCUUACUUGCCAGCAUUUCGGAUGGGAACUUUAAGGAUACUGCCAGUGACAAACUGGAGGAAGGCGGGGACGACGUCAAGUCAUCAUGGCCCUUACGGCCAGGGCUACACACGUGCUACAAUGGUCGGUACAAAGGGUUGCUACACAGCGAUGUGAUGCUAAUCUCAAAAAGCCGAUCGUAGUCCGGAUUGGAGUCUGCAACUCGACACCAUGAAGUCGGAAUCGCUAGUAAUCGCGGAUCAGAAUGCCGCGGUGAAUACGUUCCCGGGCCUUGUACACACCGCCCGUCACACCAUGGGAGUUUGUUGCACCAGAAGUAGCUAGCCUAACUGCAAAGAGGGCGGUUACCACGGUGUGGCCGAUGACUGGGGUGAAGUCGUAACAAGGUA